Molecule: ribosomal RNA, 522 nt
Filed under: Hoplias malabaricus (trahira)
Lineage: Eukaryota; Metazoa; Chordata; Actinopteri; Characiformes; Erythrinidae
Description: partial large subunit ribosomal RNA
Rfam family: Bacterial large subunit ribosomal RNA
Source: RNAcentral
GGAGGUCCUGCCUGCCCAGUGACUAUUAGUUAAACGGCCGCGGUAUUUUGACCGUGCUAAGGUAGCGCAAUCACUUGUCCUUUAAAUGAGGACCUGUAUGAAUGGUGGAACGAGGGCUUAACUGUCUCCCCCUCCCAAUCAAUGAAAUUGAUCUGCCCGUGCAGAAGCGGACAUAAAUAUACAAGACGAGAAGACCCUUUGGAGCUUAAGAUACUUCAAUCAUCUGUGUUAAACCCCUCAUAAAAAGGACCAAACCAAAACAGCACCUGAUUAUUAUCUUCGGUUGGGGCGACCGCGGGGGAAAACAAAGCCCCCAUGUGGAAUGGGAAAUAUCCUACAACCCAGAAAGACAUUUCUAAGUCACAGAACUUCUGACCAAAAGAUCCGGCACAAGGGCCGAACAACGAACCAAGUUACCCUAGGGAUAACAGCGCAAUCCUCUUUAAGAGUUCAUAUCGACAAGUGGGUUUACGACCUCGAUGUUGGAUCAGGACAUCCUAAUGGUGCAGCCGCUAUUAAGGG